RNAcentral lists this ribosomal RNA (497 nucleotides) under uncultured bacterium. RNAcentral describes it as "partial 16S ribosomal RNA". It matches the Rfam family "Bacterial small subunit ribosomal RNA", at positions 28 to 507 of the family's 1533-position model. The record is from RNAcentral.
GAUGAACGCUGGCGGCGUGCCUAAUACAUGCAAGUCGAGCGAACAGACGAGGAGCUUGCUCCUCUGAUGUUAGCGGCGGACGGGUGAGUAACACGUGGAUAACCUACCUAUAAGACUGGGAUAACUUCGGGAAACCGGAGCUAAUACCGGAUAACAUGUUGAACCGCAUGGUUCAACAGUGAAAGACGGUCUUGCUGUCACUUAUAGAUGGAUCCGCUCCGCAUUAGCUAGUUGGUAAGGUAACGGCUUACCAAGGCAACGAUGCGUAGCCGACCUGAGAGGGUGAUCGGCCACACUGGAACUGAGACACGGUCCAGACUCCUACGGGAGGCAGCAGUAGGGAAUCUUCCGCAAUGGGCGAAAGCCUGACGGAGCAACGCCGCGUGAGUGAAGAAGGUCUUCGGAUCGUAAAACUCUGUUAUUAGGGAAGAACAAAUGUGUAAGUAACUAUGCACGUCUUGACGGUACCUAAUCAGAAAGCCACGGCUAACUACGUG